RNAcentral lists this small nuclear RNA (46 nucleotides) under Cervus elaphus hippelaphus. The record is from RNAcentral. Lineage: Eukaryota; Metazoa; Chordata; Mammalia; Artiodactyla; Cervidae.
GUGCUUGCUUUGGCAGCACAUAUACUAAAAUGGAAAUUACUACAGA